RNAcentral lists this ribosomal RNA (484 nucleotides) under uncultured bacterium. Its description in RNAcentral is "partial 16S ribosomal RNA". It matches the Rfam family "Bacterial small subunit ribosomal RNA", at positions 30 to 507 of the family's 1533-position model. The record is from RNAcentral.
AUUGAACGCUGGCGGCAGGCCUAACACAUGCAAGUCGAGCGGAUGAAGGGAGCUUGCUCCUGGAUUCAGCGGCGGACGGGUGAGUAAUGCCUAGGAAUCUGCCUGGUAGUGGGGGAUAACGUCCGGAAACGGGCGCUAAUACCGCAUACGUCCUGAGGGAGAAAGUGGGGGAUCUUCGGACCUCACGCUAUCAGAUGAGCCUAGGUCGGAUUAGCUAGUUGGUGGGGUAAAGGCCUACCAAGGCGACGAUCCGUAACUGGUCUGAGAGGUUGAUCAGUCACACUGGAACUGAGACACGGUCCAGACUCCUACGGGAGGCAGCAGUGGGGAAUAUUGGACAAUGGGCGAAAGCCUGAUCCAGCCAUGCCGCGUGUGUGAAGAAGGUCUUCGGAUUGUAAAGCACUUUAAGUCGGGAGGAAGGGCAGUAAGUUAAUACCUUGCUGUUUUGACGUUACCAACAGAAUAAGCACCGGCUAACUUCGUG